CAGUCGCCACGGUAAUACAGAGGGUGCGAGCGUUAAUCGGAUUUACUGGGCGUAAAGCGUGCGUAGGCGGCUUCUUAAGUCGGAUGUGAAAUCCCUGAGCUUAACUUAGGAAUUGCAUUCGAUACUGGGAAGCUAGAGUAUGGGAGAGGAUGGUAGAAUUCCAGGUGUAGCGGUGAAAUGCGUAGAGAUCUGGAGGAAUACCGAUGGCGAAGGCAGCCAUCUGGCCUAAUACUGUCGCUGAGGUACGAAAGCAUGGGGAGCAAACAGGAUUAGAUACCCGAGUAGUCCCUGUCUCUUAUAC
Molecule: ribosomal RNA, 301 nt
Filed under: uncultured bacterium
Lineage: Bacteria
Description: partial 16S ribosomal RNA
Rfam family: Bacterial small subunit ribosomal RNA
Source: RNAcentral